CUUUUCUUGUAUUGUUUUGGAAAUAUAACCUGCCCACUGAUUUAAUUGAAGGGCCGCGGUAAUUUGACCGUGCAAAGGUAGCAUAAUCAUUAGUUUUUUGAUUGAGGACUGGAAUGAAUGGUUGGACGAGAUACAUUCUAUCUUUUUUUUAUUAUUUGAAUUUAAUUAUUAAGUGAGAAAGCUUAAAUGUUGCUAAGGGACGAGAAGACCCUAUAGAGUUUAAUAUUUAUUUAUAAAUUUUAGGUGUGUUAAAAUUGAUUUUUGAAUUAGGUAUUUUGUUGGGGUGACAAGGGGAAAUAUAAAACUCUUCUUUGAUGUUGUUUAUUGAUUUAUAUAUUUUUAGAUCCAUUGUUUGUGAUAAUAAGAUUAAAUUACCUUAGGGAUAACAGCGUAAUUCUUUUUGAGAGUUCGUAUUAAUAAAGGGGAUUGCGA
This 432-nucleotide ribosomal RNA is filed under the name Sigmella schenklingi. Its description in RNAcentral is "partial 16S ribosomal RNA". It matches the Rfam family "Archaeal large subunit ribosomal RNA", at positions 1918 to 2592 of the family's 2987-position model. Lineage: Eukaryota; Metazoa; Arthropoda; Insecta; Blattodea; Blattellidae. The record is from RNAcentral.